ACCACCUACCAACUCAACGACUGCGUUUGGUUUGGUAAAUAUGAUCGAUAAUCCAUUAACCAUUGAGCCUAAAUUGAGCUCAAAAAUGGUUGGAAAGGCUCAAGGGCUUUAUACCUCUGCAUCGCAAGAAGAAAUUGGACUACUAAUGAUUAUGAACUUUGCAUUCUUUGAUGGUAAGUAUAAUGGUAGCACAUUCACUGUAUUAGGACGGAAUACGGUAUUUUCUAAAGUGAGGGAGAUGUCAGUGAUCAGUGGCAGUGGACUUUUCCGAUUUGCUAGAGGUUAUGUUGAACUUAAAACUUAUUCGGUAAAUUUAACCACAAGAGAUGCUAUAGUUGAGUAUAAUGCUUAUGUUUUGCAUUAUUAAACUUCUUUCCAUUUUUUCCAAGCUUUUGUUGAGCUUUGGCUGCUAUUGUGACAACUUGAAUCAUUAUGUUCCCACCAUGUGCUAAGUGGGGCCCUUUGAUGUUUGAUUUAAUUAAAUUAUGUGUUUGAGUAGUAUAAUUGUUUUCUCAAAAUAUUUUUUAAUAAAUUUUGUUUUGAAUAAAAGUGGUUCGAGGAGAAAGAUUAAGGUAUUCUAUCUCAAUUUUUUGAAUCACUAAUGUUUAAAAUUAAUAUUGACUAUUAAAAUUCAAUCAUAAAAUUCAUUAUCACACAUUCCAAAUUUGAUAGUUAAAAUUUUGGUUCAAAAAAUCUAAAAUGCAAAAGGUUUAGCAGUGAUAAUUCUGAUCAAUUUUGUAGUUUAUUUUUUUAAAUUGAUAAGAAAAUUUGGUUGAUUAUAAUCUCCAGGCAACUUUAGUAUUCAUUUUGGAUUGAUAAAUGUUAGUCCAUGAUUCAUCCUUUAAUUUAAUGAGCUUGAAGAUACUAGGCCUUGACCUAGUAUAGUGCCCUAAACUAAAAGGGUGACAAUUCGUAUUGUUGGGUCAUAAUCCAAUCGAGAAAGGCUAUAUGUAUAUAUUCAAUAAAGUCUCUCCUAAAUCUUGAACUUCAUGCACGGAGGUAUAAAUUUUUUAUUUUUUCUAUUUUUAAAUAUGAAAUUAUAGGUGCUAGAUGUGGUUUAUUCACUAAAACCAUUAUAUAAUUUAUGACAUUGGUUUAUUUUAAUUUUGUAUAUAGACUAUAAGGACCCAUUUAGCCUUAUUUUUUAAACUUGUUUUUAAAAACUAGUGAAAAUAAUUUAUACUUGUUCUUUAAAAAUUGUUCUCUAUUUUGCUUUAUUUUUAAAAAUUGUUUCUAAAGAAUAACAAUCAAACAAUUUUAAAAAAUUUUAAAAACAGUUCUCCAUUUUAAAAAAUAAAAAAACUGUUUUUAAAUCAUAUGGCCAAAUAAGCUCUAAAAGCCUUCAACCCUUAAUAUCUUUUAACUUAAAAAUCUCACCAUUAGAUAAUAUUCUCAUUUUAGAAGAUACAAAUCACAUGUUAGAAAUAAACUAGAAUCAUAUUAUUAUUUAUUGUAAUGAGAUACACUUUAUAUCUUAUUUGAUGAAGCUUAAGAAAUCAUAUACAAAUUAUUAAUUAAUUAAUUAAUUAAUAUUUUGUUAGUGUAACCUUAUCAUUAUACAAAUAAAAUAUUUUUAUUAUUUUCAUUUUCAAAAUUUAAAAAUUAAAGAAAUCAAAAGAAAAUUUCUUAAUUUUUCAACUAAUAAAAUUCCUUUUAUCAAAAAGAGAACAUCAACAAAUUGUGAAGUUACAUAUUUUUAUUUAUUUUAAUAGUCGAUAUUUUUUUAAGAUGUAUCAAUUAUUAUGUACAUUAAAAUGCAUUUAAAGGUGAUUUUAUUUGAAAUAUUUUUAAUAAAAGUAUUUUAAAAAAAAUAUUUUUAGAAAAAUUAGUUAUCAAUUAUGAAACAUUAUAAAUAAUUUUUUAGUUUUUAAAAUAUUUUCUAAAAUUUUUAAAUGUGGAAAUUUUUUUAAGUUAAAAAUAUUUUCUAAAAUGACUAUGAAAUGGAAUCUUAAUAUUCUUACUAGUUCCUCCAAAAUAAUGGAGUGUCUUUUUCCCACGUAAAACCUAGAAAACUCUGAACCCAAAAUUUGAUGCUCAGAACGACGUGGGCAAGGGGGAAGAAUGAAAGUCAAGUCAUUUUCUUUAUUUUUAAAAUCCUCAUUUCAAUUGGGUGGGUGUCAUACCUGGAAAUUGCACCACACCUACCUUCACUAAUGAUAAAAGCACAAUUUUGGGCCCACCACAACAAACAUUAGGGCCCACUUUGAUGGGGGCAGGCCUUAUUUUCUAGAAAAAGUUAGCCCAACCACUCCAUUGUCUGUCCAUGAUUUCCCACGUCCCAUUAAAAAAAAGGCGUGCUAUUCCAGGUCAAUAAGACUUGCAAAUUACCCAAAACCACCAAGGGCCCAAGGCACCGAACCCCAUAAGAUGGAGGGGCAUUUUGGUCAUCUCGAAAUAUAUAUAUACCGCCUAGGUUUUGUGAACAAAUGGGAUGCAUUGUGGCCGGCAAAGGGUGUGCAUUGUGGUCAUGGCUAGAGCUCUCCUCAUCUCACCUUCCUUCUUCAUCUUCUUCAUCUUUCUCAUUUUCUCUUCUGCCAAGAUCCCAGUUUUCGGAGAAGAAUAUAGCUAUGUCAAGCGUCUCAAUCCUAAGAAAAUGAAGAUGUUGAAGGAAAAGUUAAGUCAUUUUCGACUUUAUUGGCAUGAUAUUCUUAGUGGGUCUAAUCCAACCUCAAUUCCAGUAGUUAAACCGGUGAAUAACUCAUCAACAUUCUUUGGUUCAAUAAAUAUGAUCGAUAAUCCAUUAACCAUUGAGCCAAAAUUAAACUCAAAAAUGGUUGGAAAGGCCCAAGGGUUUUAUGCGUCUGCGGGACAAGAAAAUUUUGGAUUGUUGAUGGUUAUGAAUUUUGCAUUCAACGAUGACAAGUAUAAUGGUAGCACAUUUACUGUGAUAGGACGAAAUGAUGUUUUUUCUAAGGUGAGGGAAAUGGAGAUAGUUGGUGGCAGUGGGCUUUUCCGAUUUGCUACAGGUUAUGUUCAAGCAAAAACUUACAUGUUCGGUACCAAUGGAGAUGCCAUUGUCGAAUACAAUGCCUAUGUUUUACAUUAUUGAUAUUUUUCCUUUUUUUAACUUUUCAGUCGAGCUUUGUUCCACAGUGAUAGACUUGAAUUGUUGUGUGUUCCCACUGUAGCUAAGUGGGGUUCUCUAGUUUUGCUUAAUUUAAUUAAAUUAAGUUACUCUUACUUUACCUAAUUUAUUGUAAGCAUGCAAUAAUAAAAUAAAAUUUAAGUAUCACGUAUAGUUUGAUUUAGAAUUUAUUUGUUUAUUUAAAUUUUUUAGAGAAGUUACAAAAAUAGAAAAAAAAAAACACAUGUAAUUCAAAGAAAAUCAUAUUUGAAAAUUCUCGAUGAUAGUGAUAGAUCGUGUAGAGAGAAGAAAAAUAAGACCAUAUUCAAUUUUAUUUGUUUCUUAUGAUUUUCUUAAUUUUCUUAUGUUCCUCUAUUGUUUAAAAAACUAGUGAAAAUGAUUCUUUAUUUCACUUUGUUUUUUUAAAAAUGAAAAUAGAGAACAACAACUGAAUAAGGUUAUGAAUUUUUUAAAAACAAAUAUUUGUUUUUAAAAUAGAAAACUAUUUUUUAAAUCACAUGGUCAAACAUGUUAUAAUAGUUUAAAAUUUUGUUUUAAAAAAAUGGAAGUAUAUAUAUGAAAAAAAAAAAAUUACAGCUUGAAAGUGAUUUUUAAAGAUUAAGUACAGCAAAACAACAUUUUAUAUGGAAUUUAUUAGUAUUUUUAUUUUUAAAAUAAAAAAAUAGAAAUUCAAAUUUUUGUUUUUAAAAGUUUUAAAAUAGAAAACAAAAUUAUACCCAAAUAACACCUUUUAAGUUUGUAAUUUACUAAAAGUUCAUCAGUCAAGAUUCCUAAAACUCUAUUACGUCAUAGUCCCACACAACUCAAGAAAGGUUAUAUCCAUAUAUUCAAGAUGACCUCCUAAAUCUUGAUCUAUAUGCAUGGAGGUAUAAAUUUUUUAUAAAUAAUUUUUUAUUUUUAAAAACAAAAACCUAUUUUUAAAUCACACAAUCAAACAGAUUGGAAGCCUUCAAUCCUUAAUAUCUUUUAACUUAAAAUCUUACCAUUAGAUAACAUUGCUUUAGAAUUUAUAAAUCAUGUAUUAUAAGUAAACUAAAAUCAUAUUAUUGUUGAUAGUAAUGAGAUACACUUUAUAUCUUAUUUGAUAAAGGUUAAGAAACCAUAUACAAAUUAUUAAUUAAUUAAUAAUUUAUUAAUGUAACCUUAUCAUUAUACAAAUAAAAUAUUUCUAUUAUUUCCAUUUUCAAAAUUUAAAACUCAAAGAAGUCAAAAGAAAAUUUCUUAAUUUUUCAACUAAUAAAAUCCCUUUUAUAAAAAAAAGAAAAAAAGAAAAAGAAAGUCAACAAAUCUUGAAAUUUCAAAAUUUUAAGAUAUUAAUGUACCAGUUAUUAAGUAGAUCGAGUAUAUUUAGUAGUGAUUCUAUUUGAAGUACUUUAGUAAAAGUGUUUUUUCUAAAAAUGUUUUUAGAAGAAUCGUCCAUUAAUUUCUUUUUUAAGAAACAUUAUAAAUAAUUUGUCAAUUUUUUAAAAAUAUUUUCUAAUUUUAAAUGCCAAAAUAUUUUAAAAUAUAGGGAAAAAUAUAUUUCCAUAUACCUAUAUGAAAAAAACCACAAAAUAAAAAUUUAAGUUUAUAAAAUAUAAAUUUCAAGCACUUAUAUAAAAAUAAUUAGUAUUUCACAUAUUUUCUUUAUCAAAUAUAUUACAUUUGAUCACGUAGAAUAUACCUUUUAAUGAUAUGAGUGUAUUAAAUUUGAAUUAUUUUUAUUUUGUUUUUAUUUUAUAAUUAUUUUUAUAUUAGCUUGUGAAAACCUUUUUUUUUUGUAAGUUAGAAGGAGUUUCUCUCCAUCGAAACACGCAGUGUCUUUUUCCCUUUUCUUGUAAACCCUAGAAAACUCUAAACCCUAAAUUCGGUGCUCAGAAAGACUUGGGCAUGGAAGAAGAGAAUGAAAGUAAAGUCAAUUCCUUUAUUUUUAAAUCCUCAGUUCACUUUUGCUUCCAUUGGGUGGGUGGGUGGGAUACCUGGAAAUUGUAUCAGACCUACCGUCACUCACAAGUCUGAAUUAAAAUGACAAUUUUAUCCAAUAGAAUGGGUUUUGGGGCGACUUUGAUUGCGGGAGGCCUCAUUUUCUAGAAAAGGUUGGCCCAACCACACCAUCCUCUUUCCAUGUUUUUUCUCAACAAACGCGUGCCCAAGUCAAUAAGACUUGCAAAUCACCCAAAACCACCAUAUGCCCAAGGCACCAAACCCCAUAAGAUGGAGGGGCAUUUUUGUCAUUCUCGUUAGAAAUAUUCCCGUUGUGAUGGGUCGGUGCGAUUGGCAAUUAUAACAUCUUUGAAUUUGGAAAAGUGGGCUUUAAUUGUGUGGAAAAUGAACAAUUCAAUAAUUUAUAUAUAUAUCCUAGGUUUUGUGAGCAAAGGGUGUGCAUUGUGGCCAUGGCUAGAGCUCUCCUCAUCUCACCUCCCUACUUCAUCUUCCUUAUCUUUCUCAUUUUCUCUUAUGCCACAAUCCCAACUUUUGGAGAAGAAUAUAGCUAUGUCAAGCGUGUCAAUCCUAAGAAAAUGAAGAUAUUGAAGGAAAAGUUAAGUCAUUUUCGACUUUACUGGCACGACAUUGUUAGCGGGUCUAAUCCAACCUCAAUUCAAGUGGUUAAACCAGUGAAUAACUCGUCAACAUUCUUUGGUUCAAUAAAUAUGAUUGAUAAUCCGUUAACCAUUGGACCAAAGUUGAGCUCAAAACUGGUUGGAAAGGCUCAAGGGUUUUAUUCAUCUGCAGGACAAGAAGAAUUUGGAUUAUUGAUGGUUAUGAAUUUUGUAUUCAUCGAUGGCAAGUAUAAUGGUAGCACAUUCACUGUGUUAGGACGAAAC
RNAcentral lists this long non-coding RNA (5889 nucleotides) under Vitis vinifera (wine grape). RNAcentral describes it as "long non-coding RNA (VVIN_LNC001660)". Lineage: Eukaryota; Viridiplantae; Streptophyta; Magnoliopsida; Vitales; Vitaceae. The record is from RNAcentral.